This 874-nucleotide ribosomal RNA is filed under the name uncultured bacterium. Its description in RNAcentral is "bacterial SSU rRNA". It matches the Rfam family "Bacterial small subunit ribosomal RNA", at positions 8 to 913 of the family's 1533-position model. The record is from RNAcentral.
AGACUUUGAUUAUGGCUCAGGAUGAACGCUGGCGGCGUGCCUAACACAUGCAAGUCGAGCGAUCUCUUCGGAGAGAGCGGCGGACGGGUGAGUAACGCGUGGGUAACCUGCCCUGUACACACGGAUAACAUACCGAAAGGUAUGCUAAUACGGGAUAAUAUAUAAGAGUCGCAUGACUUUUAUGUCAAAGAUUUUUCGGUGCAGGAUGGACCCGCGUCUGAUUAGCUUGUUGGCGGGGUAACGGCCUACCAAGGCGACGAUCAGUAGCCGACCUGAGAGGGUGAUCGGCCACAUUGGAACUGAGACACGGUCCAAACUCCUACGGGAGGCAGCAGUGGGGAAUAUUGCACAAUGGGCGCAAGCCUGAUGCAGCAACGCCGCGUGAGCGAUGAAGGCCUUCGGGUCGUAAAGCUCUGUCCUCAAGGAAGAUAAUGACGGUACUUGAGGAGGAAGCCCCGGCUAACUACGUGCCAGCAGCCGCGGUAAUACGUAGGGGGCUAGCGUUAUCCGGAUUUACUGGGCGUAAAGGGUGCGUAGGCGGUCUUUCAAGUCAGGAGUUAAAGGCUACGGCUCAACCGUAGUAAGCUCCUGAUACUGUCUGACUUGAGUGCAGGGGAGGAAGGCGGAAUUCCCAGUGUAGCGGUGAAAUGCGUAGAUAUUGGGAGGAACACCAGUAGCGAAGGCGGCUUUCUGGACUGUAACUGACGCUGAGGCACGAAAGCGUGGGGAGCAAACAGGAUUAGAUACCCUGGUAGUCCACGCUGUAAACGAUGAGUACUAGGUGUCGGAGGUUACCCCCUUCGGUGCCGCAGCUAACGCAUUAAGUACUCCGCCUGGGGAGUACGCACGCAAGUGUGCAACUCAAAGGAAUUGA